GUCGCUUAGCUGAUUUUUUCCCUAUAUUCUCUAUUGGUGCUUGUUGUUUAGCACUUUUUCCUGGGGUCAGCCUGGGCUGUGAUCUAUUUGCAGCGUAGGUCUGGAAGGGAGUUGAAGUUCAUCCCAAGUGUGGUGUGUUCAAUCCAGAAGCAUGUGUGUUCUAGCACCUUCAGCUAAGCGUUCAUAGGGACACUACAAGAAAUGUGGGAAUUCCCGUCCCAUUUUUACCGGCAGCCCGUGAUGUGGGAAACCACAACCGGUGAAAUAAACGCUCCUGCCCUCUCUCUCUCUCUCACGAUAAAAAGUUGUUUUCCCCCUUUUUUAACUUCUUACAUCAAAAGCCCUCCUUUUCCAAACCCUAGCCCUCUUCUUCUCCAAACCCCUGAUCAUUGCUAUCUCCAAACUCUAACCCUCCUCUUCUCUAAACUUUCGCAGUCGCCUGCCGCACCACCAUCACAAGCAGAGUACCAUGUCUGUUCUACUUUCUACUCCAAACCCUAACCCAUCAACCGAUAUGGAUUCUUGAUGUAAAUCUCGCUAUUCCGAGCUCUCUGGUUUGAUUUCAGCUGAAUCAAGCUCCAGUGGUUGAGCGAAAGCUCUGUCGUUCGAUUACGAGAAGAGUUACAGGGGAUUUUGGGAGAAAUCUAUAGAUUUUGAGCUCCUUUUGCAUUGGUUUUGGCCGAAAUGGAGAAUCCAGAGGUUUGAAAUUGGGAUUUGUGAGAGAAACUUAGAGAUUCAAGGAGUUUCUGUGUAGCGAAGCUCUCUACGGCUUUAAUGGCGGACCUGCAGCAUCCUUAUGCAGUUCUUUGAAGGAAAUGCUUGCAGAUUUCAGAUCUCUCGUUGCUUCUUUUAAAGAGGUCUAGACAAUCAAGGUUUGAAGGGUUUCUCGCCAACUGACAUAUCCAGGCUACGUCAUCUGCUGAGCAUGUAUAUUCUUCAAAAUUCACCCAUUUCUUUUUAUCUGGAGCCUUGAAUAAGAAUAAACUUGAGUGGAAACAGCAUCCAUGGACCUAUUCCAUCCUCAAUUGGAACAAUUGCUGGGUUGGAAACUUUAAGCAGAACCCCCUUAUUUUUCAGAAGAUCAAUGCUUUGAGUGCUAAAACCAAGGUGAAUUCUAUCAUAAGCAUGGUUCUCAAGAAUCAUUUUCAUUUAGACUAUCCUAAGCAUCCCACCCCUGGCUUGGAAGACAGGAAAGUAUUAGAGAGGACAUAAUGUGGAUGGAUAGGAUCAUUCUACUUGUAAAAUAUUUGCAUGCUGGCCUAUGAGGUGUGGCUGGAACUAAUGAAUGGUCUACAUCCAUUGAUUAGUUUGUCCAUGCAUCAACAUGCAUUUCUUAGAGCCAUGAGAGCCACUGAUCUUCUCUCAUAAUACAUGUUCAAUCUUUAUUUUUUAAUUACUUGAAGGCAUUCCUCCAAAGCUUAUUUGGUUUCUCAAGAGCCAUUUUGCAAAGCAAAAGCCAACUGCAUUUGGGAAGCAGUUAAUAUCUGGGCUCGUGAGUCACGAAGGCAAAAAACAUUGUUACGCAGGCUUCUUGAUGAAACUGAUUCCGACAUACAGUUGAAAGUUUUAAAAAACUGAUUUUCUUCCUAGGGGAUCUGGUUGGAGUUCUAAAUUUUAUAUUUAUAUUUAUUUUGAAUUUUUUCUAUGGUGGAUCUUGUGGUUUCCUUGUAGGGAUUGCCAGAUCGAUCGUUGGUUCUACAGUUGCACAUGAUGGAUGAAGGACAGCCAGUGUAUGCCGAGUUUCUACAGUAAUACAAGUGUAACUUCAAUGGUAACAAGUUGACAAGGAGGGCUUGCAUCUUUAAAUUGAAAAACAAUCCUUCAUUUUGACAACCAGAGUACUUUUUGCUGCACUGAAUUGGUUUUCCGUUUGUGAUGAGUGUUAAAGAUGGUGCAUCGUUUGUAUAUUUUAAUUUAUCCACUUAUUCAUCUAUAGAUAAUGAGUUUAUAUAUGAAUUUAUAUAUGAAGACAGGGUUUUUCAAUAUGCUUCAUCUAGCUCGGUAGGUGCAUUGGAAAUACUUUUAACACCCUCUUCAUGAAUUUGAUUCCUUUUUAUUUUUAUUUUUUCUUUUCUUUUGCUUUUUCAUGUUUAGCCAUCAAUUCUAGACUUCCAACUCCUUGACUUCCUCAAUUUCUUAUGAAUGUCAUGUGACCAUUUAUAAUGAGGCUCCAUCAUUUGAAAUAUCUAAAUGCAGUACAGUUAAUUCCAUUAGUUGAUACGUUCAGUUACAUAUUUUUUCAGACACACAUGUUACCGUUGACAUAGGAAAUAGAAGAUGGUGAGGCUUAUUAGUUGUUUGUCGUAAGUUCCAGGCGAAGUUCUUGGUAUUCUUGGUCAUUGUACCAUGGGCUUUAGAUUUUAUGGUUCAUGACUACAUUCUCAUGCCAUUUCUAGACAGGUUUACCCAUCCUGUUUGGUGGACAUUGAAACGGACUACUCGGCUUUAAGCAAGCGGUAUCCAAAAUUAUCAAUAUCCCCGGAAUUCACCAAGAUUGUUCUGCACCGGCCUAAGGGAAACCUGAAUCUGUCAUUAUACACUCCUAUCAGAUUUAAGCAUGACCUCAUUGAAGUAGAUGCUAGAGAGGAGCCAAAAGAGCCUUCUGCAGAGCCAUUGGUUGAGGACCAGGAAAUCCCAAAUGCAAAAGCACUGUAUGGAACUCAAAGGGACCAAACAUACUGCUAGUUGAUACUCUUCCUAGUGAAGUCGACAAGAACUUGCUGGAAUGUGCAGAGACCAAACAUACUGCUAGAUGAUACUCUUCCUAGUGAAGUCGACAAGAAUUUGCUGGAAUGUGCAAGGACCAAAUGUACCGCUAGAUGAUACUCCGGAGUAGUUGGAAUGUGCCAGCAAUGGUGUGGCGUAGCAAUUCCCAUGCAAGGAAGCUCCAGUGAUUCGAAGAAUCUUCUCUCAAUCAUUCAGUUCAUGGAGCAGCUCUGGCAUUGAGAUGAGUCCCUGAUGUAGAGCAGGUCACAGACACUUUCAUGGCAAAGAUGGACCAAUGAAGGCCCGAUCGGAGGUGGAAGUGAUUAGGACCGUUGGAACCUUAAAAACAGUAUUAUCUCGCAAACUGGAAUGAAUUUUCAACAUGUCAUGUGAUUUUGGGAUAGGAGAAGCUACUUUAGCCAAUCAACCCUGCCAGGUUGCCCACGCCGGAUUUGCAAGAUUCCAUCAAAUCAACAGUCAAAAGUCCAUUUUAUUUUUCGUUUUUACUAUAAAUAAUAAGUAUUAACUUUUGAUCAUUUGAGUUGUAAGAGUCGUGCCCAAUAUGAAAAGGGCUUAGAAAAAUUAGGAGAAUAAUAUGGUUAAGCCAAAUUGGCACUUACUAUUUUUCGCCGAAAACCAUGAAGUCAAGUUUACUAAAACUAGGAAUGGUGACCGUCUGUAAAUAAUAAGUUUAUUAUUUAUUGUAAGUCACUUUUUUAGGGAGUUUGACUUUAAAACUUUGUCUUAGGAUUGAGCUUUAUUUAAAGGACUGUAAUUUUGUUUUUA
Molecule: long non-coding RNA, 3492 nt
Organism: Magnolia sinica
Lineage: Eukaryota; Viridiplantae; Streptophyta; Magnoliopsida; Magnoliales; Magnoliaceae
Exons: 8
Source: RefSeq, a predicted model, not a curated record